Molecule: non-coding RNA, 195 nt
Filed under: Bacillota bacterium
Lineage: Bacteria; Bacillati; Bacillota
Description: Firmicutes bacterium (gut metagenome) 6S RNA
Rfam family: 6S / SsrS RNA
About the family: E. coli 6S RNA was the first non coding RNA to be sequenced, but its function was unknown until recently. It consists of 184 nucleotides that fold into an extended hairpin structure with a large single-stranded internal bulge.
Source: RNAcentral
UAAUUCCUGGAAUGUGCGUUGGCUCCUUGUAAUAAUACCCACAAUAACUAUUAGGGAGCGUCAAAAAAUGCGCCGGAGGAAUGUCAGGCCCCCGUUCUUUAAGAAUGCCAGGGGAAGACAAACUGUCCGGUCAGCGCUCCCACCUGUCGCGAGACGGGUGUUAGUUCCUGGGGCAGACGGCAUUUCGGGAUUUUU